RNAcentral lists this ribosomal RNA (141 nucleotides) under uncultured bacterium. Its description in RNAcentral is "partial 16S ribosomal RNA". It matches the Rfam family "Bacterial small subunit ribosomal RNA", at positions 378 to 509 of the family's 1533-position model. The record is from RNAcentral.
CAAGCCUGAACGAGCAAUGCCGCGUGAACGAGGAAGGUCUUCGGAUCGUAAAGUUCUGUUGAAGGGGAAAAAGGAAGCGGAGAGAGGAAAUGGUCUCCGAUUGAUAUUACCCUUCGAGGAAGUCACGGCUAACUACGUGCC